RNAcentral lists this transfer RNA (75 nucleotides) under Nanobdellota archaeon. RNAcentral describes it as "tRNA-Ile". It matches the Rfam family "tRNA". Rfam says of the family: Transfer RNA (tRNA) molecules are approximately 80 nucleotides in length. Their secondary structure includes four short double-helical elements and three loops (D, anti-codon, and T loops). The record is from RNAcentral. Lineage: Archaea; Nanobdellati; Nanobdellota.
GAGCCUGUAGCUCAGCCUGGUUAGAGCGCCAGUCUUAUAAGCUGGAGGUCGAGAGUUCAAAUCUCUUCAGGCUCA